GUGGGGAAUUUUGGACAAUGGGCGCAAGCCUGAUCCAGCAAUGCCGCGUGCAGGAAGAAGGCCUUCGGGUUGUAAACUGCUUUUGUACGGAACGAAACGGUCCGGGUUAAUACCCUGGGCUAAUGACGGUACCGUAAGAAUAAGCACCGGCUAACUACGUGCCAGCAGCCGCGGUAAUACGUAGGGUGCAAGCGUUAAUCGGAAUUACUGGGCGUAAAGCGUGCGCAGGCGGUUUUGUAAGACAGGCGUGAAAUCCCCGGGCUCAACCUGGGAAUUGCGCUUGUGACUGCAAGGCUGGAGGGCGGCAGAGGGGGAUGGAAUUCCGCGUGUAGCAGUGAAAUGCGUAGAUAUGCGGAGGAACACCGAUGGCGAAGGCAAUCCCCUGGGCCUGCACUGACGCUCAUGCACGAAAGCGUGGGGAUCGAACAGGAUUAGAUACCCGAGUAGUCC
RNAcentral lists this ribosomal RNA (450 nucleotides) under uncultured bacterium. RNAcentral's name for it is "partial 16S ribosomal RNA". It matches the Rfam family "Bacterial small subunit ribosomal RNA", at positions 354 to 796 of the family's 1533-position model. The record is from RNAcentral.